UACAGAGGGGGCAAGCGUUGUUCGGAAUUACUGGGCGUAAAGGGCGCGUAGGCGGGAUGGCAAGUCAGUCGUGAAAUCUCUCGGCUCAACCGAGAAACGUCGGCUGAUACUGCCGUUCUUGAGGGAUGCAGAGGAGACUGGAAUUCCCGGUGUAGCGGUGAAAUGUGUAGAGAUCGGGAGGAACACCGGUGGCGAAGGCGGGUCUCUGGGCAUUUCCUGACGCUGAGGCGCGAAAGCGUGGGGAGCAAACGGG
Molecule: ribosomal RNA, 253 nt
Filed under: uncultured bacterium
Lineage: Bacteria
Description: partial 16S ribosomal RNA
Rfam family: Bacterial small subunit ribosomal RNA
Source: RNAcentral